AGGUUAAUCACCGUCAUGUGUGUAAUCCUUGUCACCUUUAUUUCCAUACAUGGUCAUUUGUUACAAUAGUGGAAAUCCAUAAUAAAUAAGCACCAUAGAUGAUCCGCAGAGCAAUAACAAACAUUUAACCUUCGUCAUGAGACAUAUAGGAGAAAAGUAAAAGGCUGUUGGAAUCAAAGAGUUAGACCAGCGUGUACAUGUGCAAAUGAAGUCAAUAUAACAACACUGUAUUUUAGCUCUUUAAAAAAUGGUCACAUUGCCCAACCAAAAGCACGCUUUCACAUAUAAUUGUACUGCCUAAGGGGCCCUUCGGGGAUUGACUGUUACUAGUUACACCUCUCGAUGUUCUGAUUAACGGUAAGAUGCUGAAGAUAACGUUCUCACAAAACUCAGUAGUACUCACUCAUCUUGGGAGCAGACAUUUGAGUGUUACAGUGAGUUUGAUGCUUUCUCUAUUGUUUACAAUUUUCUAUCGGGCUGGUUUGAUCAACGACACAUUACAUUCACUAUAAAGAUACAUUCUUAAUGCAAAACUUCCAUUCAAUUCACAAUUCACUUUCACAAGAAUUGGCACCUUCGAGGGACUCAUCAGCAUCAGCAGUUUAUUCCAUAUGUCUUUUAAAAAAGCUAUUAUGGAGAAGUAUAUGCACCACAUCUGUGGACAAGCAAGCAACACUUCAUUUUUCCUAGUUCAGAACACUUCCCUGAAGGCACAACCAGGAAACUCCAUUGUUUCUUUGAGGGCAGUGUUCAGCUUCGUGUGCCAAAAUCAACAUGGCUUCCAGGCAGGCCAUUCUGAUCUCUCGUGAGCGAACUGAGGCGGUCUAGCUUUGGUAUUUUACUGUGUACUGUAAAUGGACUUCAUGUACUGAGGCACAUAUCCCGUGUGCUAAGCUGAAAAGAACCUGUUAUAUUAUCUGUACAUUAAAGGUAUGUUGACAUCAGUGAGGAUCAGAGCGAACCAAAGAUUGAGGCUUUGCCAUCAAAUGAGUUCGGGAACCAUGUCGAUGGUGACGAGAGGCACUGGAAGAGCCUGAGGAUAAAAGAAGAGCUAUGGCAGAAGUCCCAUCUGUUAAUGCGUUUGCUUUUUUUUUCCCCUCUGAAAAGAAACUGUUUGGAAAGAGUAGUUUUCUUAAACCUGCCUUUGUGUUGCAAUAUACAAAUUGAACCUCCUAAAGCUACCACUGUAGUUAAGGAGUCAGUUUACCCAAAUAGUACAAAAUACUCGUAAUUAGAAGUUAUAAGCUACUCAAAAACUUUCAUUUGCCCAGAUUUGAAGAUAUACAGUACAUGAAUGGGAUUUUGGCCAGCACUAACCUAGUAUAAUUUCAGUGUCUGGUGUUUAAAAGAUUAAAAUGAUAUUUAAAAAGGGUCAAUUUGUAAAAGUUACAGUUCUUUUUUAGAAACUAACAUUUUCAAAUUCUGAAACAGAAAAGCGUUUGCUAGCUUCCUCUACAGCCUAAACUGACCCUGCAGUAUAAGACACUGUUUGACAUUUUGGGAAGUGUAUUUGCUUUCUUGCCAAGUUUUAGCUAAAAAGUCCAAUAUCAUCAUGCAUACUAACGCUAGACAUAGCUACCUCGGGUUAGCAUGAAAACCACAACCUAAUAUUUUCUUAAUAUUUCAGUUUUUAAGUGCCCAGAAAAUGAAAUUAUAUAUGUUAAUCAAUUAGCUUUGCAAGUGUCAGUGAAGUUUUUAUAUAUAAACAGUACUAGGCCACCAUUUUAACUUCUGUUACGCUAGGCUAAUUGGUUAGCUACCUUUAUCAAACGAGCCAUUUCUAGCAAUUUCUGACCAAAAAAUCUAUGUAUGGGGCCAAAAUGCUUUUUGAGGUGUAUGAUGAAGGAAACUACGGAGCCCCGCAGGGGACAUGGGAGAAAAAAAAA
This is a long non-coding RNA of Astatotilapia calliptera (eastern happy), 1886 nucleotides long. The record is from Ensembl. Lineage: Eukaryota; Metazoa; Chordata; Actinopteri; Cichliformes; Cichlidae.